GCAGUGAUCGUCUAGAGGCUUAGGACACGAAAAGCGAUUCUUGAUUAAGAAUCUUACGGCAUCCACAACUUUCAUUCAACGAACGUAACGCAGGUUCGAAUCCUGCUCACUGCA
Molecule: transfer RNA, 114 nt
Filed under: Yersinia phage fHe-Yen9-04
Lineage: Duplodnaviria; Heunggongvirae; Uroviricota; Caudoviricetes
Also listed under: 1 other name
Description: tRNA-Pseudo-AAA
Rfam family: tRNA
About the family: Transfer RNA (tRNA) molecules are approximately 80 nucleotides in length. Their secondary structure includes four short double-helical elements and three loops (D, anti-codon, and T loops).
Source: RNAcentral